This is a long non-coding RNA of Micropterus salmoides (largemouth bass), 759 nucleotides long. RefSeq lists it as uncharacterized. The transcript has 3 exons. The record is from RefSeq and is a predicted model, not a curated record. Lineage: Eukaryota; Metazoa; Chordata; Actinopteri; Centrarchiformes; Centrarchidae.
CUUCUAAAUAACUAAACACCUGAAGGAGAAAAUUACCAGUAGUUUAAAAUUUAAAUCAUCAAGGCUAUAAAUUAAUGGAUGACUGUUACUUUUUUUCACCUUUUAGCUGUGAUCAGCGGUAAUCCAGAAAUGAUGUUAUUAGUGUUGGUAUCAUCUUUAUUGUUGUUGUUUUUAUUAUUGUAACACAUCAUCAUCAUCAUGUGGAUCAGCCUCAGUUUGUAAAAACGUGUCAGAGUGAGACAUCACGACUCCUUCACGCCUCUGUGUAGCAGCUGUGGUGCGCAUGCGCAGAGUGAGCCGUCCCCGCGCGGACAGGAUCUGUGAGCUCCUCCAUCUCUGCCGUCAGUCGGUGUUUUGCAGCCGCAGCCGGAGCUUUCAGCCAUUUUAGCAGCUGCUUCUUUCACAUCUGCUUUCACCCCCUCUUGCAUUUAAACCCGGGUCCGAUUCUGGUCCCGGGUCGGAGUCCGGCUUUAGUGUGACCCGGGUUAUCUCUGCUGCACAUGUGAUGCCGACAGCUUCUGGACAUCCAGCGGACAACGAACCGUGAAGCAUCAUGGGAGGUGGCAGAUGGACGCCGUGGGCUGACAAGAGCCUGUGACACACACACACACACACACACACACACACACACACACACACACACACACACCAUGGAACAAGGCUUCAGCUUAAAUACACUGAAGAAGCUGGCGGCAGAGCCCGACUACACGGACGUGUCGCGACGGCAGCGGAGCGUGUGCGGGCGCUGGGAAAGAUGGG